UGAUCAGCAAUCAUGAAUGCAUUUCCAGAAAAAGUAAUAGCAUUAACAAAUUGCAAAUUUACAAACCUCACAGCUCGGUAGACAACUUCACUACUACUGAACUAAAUCUCAUUAGUAAGAUGAAGACUUAAAUGAAACUAGAAAAAUUUUAACCAAUCCAAUCUUUCCCACAAUUCAGAUAAAAACUCUCCCUUAUUAUUACUAGAUUAAUAGUUCUAGGGUCAGUAAAUCAAAUGAGUUGGCUCUUCAUUUUCUUCAAAGCAUGGUGAAUCCAUCAUAAUAGUAACAUAUAUGCAGCACAAGUUCUGAGAUUAAUGUACAUAGCAUGAAUUUUACAGCAAUUGAGUUAUAAAUCUCACUUGACAGAGAUGGAUGGGACAAGUGAUGCACAAAUGAAACAUAUGCUUCAGAAAAGCAAGCUUGCCCAAGCAGCAAUAAAGGCGAAGCCACCAAAUGGAGCCAAGGUAGCAUACUUUCUGUCCUCAAGUAAAGCCACAGCAUAACACGUCCCAGAGAAUGCAAGAAUCCCAGUUGUUAAGAGGCCCCCAAAAACAUUGGGAUUUUUGGUGAUAGGGGCAGCAAGAAGAGCUGCAGUAUGAACCAGAUGGUAUAGAGAUGCUGUAUGCCAUACCUCCUUGUAAGCGGGAUUCUGGGGCUUGAAGACAUGGGCACCAUAUGUGCCCAACCCAAGAGCUGCAACUCCCGAAAGAGCAGCAACUUUGUGCCACGUAUAAGCAUCCAUUGUUGUGCACUGGUUUCUCUGUUGUCUCUCUGAAUUUUUUGCAGGAAACAAACACUUGAUCAUUAAAACUUUAGACGAGCAAAGACGUCCAUCCUCAGCUUCAAACUGAAGGCAGCUUUCGGAAACUCUACAGAUGGGCCUCUGGACUCUGAACUGAAAGCAGCUAUUGAAGGGCCUAAUUGCAAUUAGGGAAAUUGGGCCGAUAAUAGUUUGAGCCUAAUUGCAUCUCAACAACUGUUGUAGGAUAGCUUACAUCUUUUUUC
This 1005-nucleotide unclassified non-coding RNA is filed under the name Hevea brasiliensis (rubber tree). The record is from RNAcentral. Lineage: Eukaryota; Viridiplantae; Streptophyta; Magnoliopsida; Malpighiales; Euphorbiaceae.